GCACGAGCUCUCACACACCUGGUCAGCAGGUGCCUUCUGGAUAUUUCUGAUAAGAGGCUGAAUAACUGUCUCAUCGUAAUGAUCUCCUAACUGCCGGAGCUGAUUGGCUAUCUUUAUUGGGUCGAAGUCGUCUGGUUAUGGCUAUAUUUCAUGUUGAGGAACAUUCUCAAGACAAGAUGAACCCACCACUCUGACGGAUCCUCACUUACACUGCUUUCUUUGUAAUGCCACCAUGAACAUCAUCUGAGACGGCAGAGCUGGACUUAUAACAUCACACAGGAGCUAACCAUGUGUUGUUCAAUACCACUGGGCUGCUGAUCUGACAUCUCAAGGCCACUCAAGUCCAACCUGGCAAUUCAUGUCUUCAUGGACCGUGCUUUGUGCACAGGAGCUCUGUCAUGCUGGAACCGGACAGUUCCCAUGUGGAGAAAUUGUAAUGCUACUGCAUACAAAGAUAAUGCAAGAUUUUAUAUCAUAUAUCAUGUGAGAUACUUGUAUUUUCUAUUAUUAAUAUUGGCUAUACUCAAUUUGUAUGUCACCAACAAAGAAAACCGUUUUAAAUGACAAAACAAUCUGUAAAUUUAUGGGGUUGUUUAUGGAAGGAAACCAUCCACAUUGAUAAAUAGAGCCACAACAGUUAGGCCAGUAUCUUUAUCUCAAAGACAUAAGAAUCAAAAAUCUAUAGACAAAGUUGAGUUUUCUCACUUGCCAGAACUUCAAUAGGGAAAAGGCUUGAAGUUCAUUUAGCUGAAUUGUAAAUGUUGCUGAUUAGAUUCAGUAGACAGAUUAGUAUAUAUACUGUAUGUAUCAUUAAUGGACAUUGAAACCCUUGUCUGUUUUUUUUACGUUAACUGUCUCUUAUCUGCUUACUAUCUACUAGACAUUUUUAAACAUCUACAUUCCUUGUGCAGAACCAUCAAAAGCAGUCUUGUCAAGGAUGCUGUCUAGUUGAUUGAAGGUGACCCCUUUUUUGCUCUUUCUAGAAUAUCAGAUUGAACAAGCACUUAAAAGCACUGGAGCCAUUUUGAAAAAAAAAGAAAAAAUAUGCCAUGCAUUAUCCAGGCUGAGUGGUUCCCUCAAAAAAUAUUGGCAAAAUAAAUCUGUCUGGAGAAGGCGUACGCUGCGCACUCACGCUGCUUUGCGCUCAUUCUUUCAGAGACAUGACAGUAAGGAACGCCCCGUCUACCCGGGUGAAAUUGACGAGCCUGUAAGACAUUGCUUAUCCAGGCACUGUUUUGUUUUUUUUAGAUCUGGUUGUCCUGUUUUGACAUGUGACAGGACAGAAGGAUAAGUAGCCAGAUGUUUAUGUCUCAAAUUAAACUACAUAGUGAUUGUCAAUCUCUAUUAAGUAGUUUUUGAAUCAACAUAGUUAAUGUAAAUGUGUAAUUACAAAGCAGUUUAGUAGUGAGUUUUAUAACAGUGACUGGAAUCCUGGGAUCCACAGGUCUGUCACUGAGCCACCCUUAAGCUCAGGUGUACUUGUGGACUUUCAAACACUUCGGGCACUGACGUCACCGUUACACAUGAUUCUGAACUUGGACUUUGUAUUUUGGACCUUGGAGUGUAUUUUUCCUUCACAUUAUCUGCUUGAGCUCCUGUCGGUCUGACAGCGUGAUGUAACCACAAUAUUUAAAACUGGAAAUUAUGUUUUGUUCUAAAUGUUUUGCACAAAAAGCCUAAUGGGCAUGUUGUUUUGCCCAGAGGACAACUCACUGCUCAAUUACAACUGGCAUUAUUUCUUAAUUGGACUGUACAAAAUGGAAAAUAAAAAGCGCAAUAAAAAUAGUCUAUAACCAGUGCAUACUGUACAUUGGGAUUGUACUGUUAGUCUAUGAUAUUUAAAAAAAAAAAAAAGGUAAAUAAUAAGAUGUGCUACAGUAGAUCAAGUGUUGUUUUACACACAUCUGAAUAAUGAAUGUGGAAGCCAUAUUAUUACAAACGUUCAUUUGCUAAGUACAUCUAGGGCUAUACUGGUGACAAUUAUAUUGGCAAUAAACACAAUUAUUAGUUGUUGAUUUUAAUGCUUGAUAUAUUAUUCCUCAUCGUAUUAGUAUUUUAUUUUUCAUUAAAAAAAAUGAUGUUUGCUUUCAGGUUUAAAGGCAAGUGACUGUAGUGGUCUAGACACCGUUUUGAACACCCCGACUUGGAAAAAAAAGAAAAUAAACCUGGCAGCCUUGGAGGACUGAACUGUAAACACCCGUUGACUCUUACAUGCCAGAUAACAUCAUGAAUGAUGCACAUAGAAAAUCAGCUUCAGCAUGUGUGCAACCUGUCUCUGAGUACGAGUAACGUUCCUCAAAUACAUAUUGAAAUAAACUUAUAUAAAAAUAAA
Molecule: long non-coding RNA, 2332 nt
Organism: Tachysurus vachellii
Lineage: Eukaryota; Metazoa; Chordata; Actinopteri; Siluriformes; Bagridae
Exons: 5
Source: RefSeq, a predicted model, not a curated record